UACGUAGGCAGCAAGCGUUGUUCGGAGUUACUGGGCGUAAAGGGUGUGUAGGCGGUCUUCUAAGUUUGGUGUGAAAUCUCCCGGCUCAACUGGGAGGGUGCGCCGAAAACUGGGAGGCUAGAGUACUGGAUGGGAGAGUGGAAUUCCUGGUGUAGCGGUGAAAUGCGUAGAUAUCAGGAGGAACACCUGUGGUGUAGACGGCUCUCUGGACAGUAACUGACGCUGAGACACGAAAGCGUGGGUAGCAAACAGG
RNAcentral lists this ribosomal RNA (253 nucleotides) under uncultured bacterium. Its description in RNAcentral is "partial 16S ribosomal RNA". It matches the Rfam family "Bacterial small subunit ribosomal RNA", at positions 524 to 776 of the family's 1533-position model. The record is from RNAcentral.